UACAGAGGGGGCAAGCGUUGUUCGGAAUUACUGGGCGUAAAGGGCGCGUAGGCGGCCACGCAAGUCGGAUGUGAAAUCCCUCGGCUCAACCGAGGAACUGCAUCCGAAACUGCGAGGCUCGAGUCCUGGAGAGGGUAGUGGAAUUCCCAGUGUAGCGGUGAAAUGUGUAGAUAUUCGGAAGAACACCAGUGGCGAAGGCAGCGAACUGGCGCUCGAUUGACGCUCAGGCACGAAAGCAUGGGGAUCAAACAGG
This 253-nucleotide ribosomal RNA is filed under the name uncultured bacterium. RNAcentral's name for it is "partial 16S ribosomal RNA". It matches the Rfam family "Bacterial small subunit ribosomal RNA", at positions 524 to 776 of the family's 1533-position model. The record is from RNAcentral.